This 496-nucleotide ribosomal RNA is filed under the name uncultured bacterium. RNAcentral describes it as "partial 16S ribosomal RNA". It matches the Rfam family "Bacterial small subunit ribosomal RNA", at positions 28 to 507 of the family's 1533-position model. The record is from RNAcentral.
GAUGAACGCUGGCGGCGUGCCUAAUACAUGCAAGUCGAGCGAACGGACGAGAAGCUUGCUUCUCUGAUGUUAGCGGCGGACGGGUGAGUAGCACGUGGAUAACCUACCUAUAAGACUGGGAUAACUUCGGGAAACCGUAGCUAAUACCGGAUAAUAUUUUGAACCGCAUGGUUCAAAAGUGAAAGACGGUCUUGCUGUCACUUAUAGAUGGAUCCGCGCUGCAUUAGCUAGUUGGUAGGUAACGGCUUACCAAGGCAACGAUGCAUAGCCGACCUGAGAGGGUGAUCGGCCACACUGGAACUGAGACACGGUCCAGACUCCUACGGGAGGCAGCAGUAGGGAAUCUUCCGCAAUGGGCGAAAGCCUGACGGAGCAACGCCGCGUGAGUGAUGAAGGUCUUCGGAUCGUAAAACUCUGUUAUUAGGGAAGAACAUAUGUGUAAGUAACUGUGCACAUCUUGACGGUACCUAAUCAGAAAGCCACGGCUAACUACGUG